Molecule: ribosomal RNA, 221 nt
Filed under: uncultured bacterium
Lineage: Bacteria
Description: partial 16S ribosomal RNA
Rfam family: Bacterial small subunit ribosomal RNA
Source: RNAcentral
AUUGAACGCUGGCGGCAGGCCUAACACAUGCAAGUCGAACGGUAGCACAGAGAGCUUGCUCUCGGGUGACGAGUGGCGGACGGGUGAGUAAUGUCUGGGAAACUGCCUGAUGGAGGGGGACCCUAACUACUGGAAACGGUAGCUAAUACCGCAUAAUGUCGCAAGACCAAAGAGGGGGACCUUAGGGCCUCUUGCCAUCAGAUGUGCCCAGAUGGGAUUAG